RNAcentral lists this long non-coding RNA (1542 nucleotides) under Macaca fascicularis (crab-eating macaque). RNAcentral's name for it is "lncRNA (ENSMFAG00000055869.1)". Lineage: Eukaryota; Metazoa; Chordata; Mammalia; Primates; Cercopithecidae. The record is from RNAcentral.
UGGGAAAAGCUAUACAACUUUAUUGAAAACAUGGAGUGGAAAAAUAAACCCUGCUCAUGAAUGGGAAAAUUCAAUUUUACAUAGAUGCUGAUUUUAUCCAGACUGAUCUAUAGAUUCAACUGGAUUCCAUUCUCCAUCUCAAGGGGUUUUUUGGGGGAAUUUGACAAGCUGAUUCUCAAGGUUACAUAGAAGAGCAAGGGCCAAGACUAGUGCUUAGGAGAUGACUCCCAAAGGGCACAGGGACAGAAAAAAUGACCAGUGGAACCAAAAAGAAAAAUUAAUUGUGGUAUUUCAGUGGAUCACUAUGCAGCAGGGAAAAGGAAUGCCAUACAGCUACACACAGUAAUCCAGAUACAUCUCAGCAACAUAAUCAAGUGAAAAGGCAAACUGUAAAAGAAUAAACUCAGCAUGAUUUCAUUCAUACAUUUGAAAACAUGCAAAGCCAACACAAACACAUUAAUAAAACUAUAAAGCAAAGCAAUGGAAUGACUGAAACAGGACCGUGUCUCCCCCACCAGGGAGGGGCAACAGCAGGAACUUCGAAGGAAAUGGUAACCUUCUCAAAUGCAGUGGGGGCUGUUGUUUCCUCUGAAUUUUAUAAAUGUGUUCUAGUAGCUACUCACUAAUUAAAACAACAAACAAACAAACAUGAGUCCAGGCACAGUGGCUCACGCCUGUGAUUCCAGCACUUUGGGAGGCCAAGGUGGGCAGAUCACCUGAGGUCAGGAGUACAAGACCAGCCUGACCAAUAUGGUGAAACCCCAUCUCUACAAAAAUACAAAAAUUAGCAGGGCGUGAUGGUGGCUGCCUGCAAUCCCAGCUACUCGGAAGGCUAGGGCAGGAGAAUCACUUGAACCCAGGAGGCAAAGGUUGCAGUGAGCCAAGAUCACGCCACUGCACUCCAGCUUGGGCAACAGAGCGAGGCUCCAUCUUGAAAAACAAAACAAAACAAAAAACAUGAAAAUAAGAUAUUGUGGGCCGGGCAUGGUGGCUUACACCUGUAAUCCUAACACUUUGGGAGGCCGAGGCAGGUGGAUCACCUGAGGUCAGGAGUUCCAGACCAGCCUGACCAACAUGGAGAAACCCCGUCUCUACUAAAAAUACAAAAAAAUUAGCCAGGCAUGGUGACACAUGCCUAUAAUCCCAGCUACCGGGAGGCUGUGGCAGGAGAAUCGCUUGUUCUGGGAGGCAGAGGUUUCGGUGAGCCGAGAUCACACCAUUGCACUCCAGCCUGGGUAACAAGAGUGAAACUCCGUCUCAAAAAAAAAGAGAGAAAGAAAAUAAGAAAUUGUGGAGGGCAAGGGAUGAAACGGGACAAGGUGAGUCUGCUAAUGCAUCUGUUCAGCCAAAGUGCCACGCACACCAAGUUCCUACUGUCACUAAAAAAUAACAACAGAGCAUGCCUUUUAGAAAAACAACCAGCCCAAGCAGCUUUGCAUGGGCAAAGCCUGUCAGACGGUGGGUUUCUCUGAAGGUUCUUGGGGGUCAAGCAUGUUCCUUCAUGGGAGGACCCUCCCAGCAGUAUCUAUGAACUUUCACUUA